RNAcentral lists this ribosomal RNA (962 nucleotides) under uncultured bacterium. RNAcentral's name for it is "bacterial SSU rRNA". It matches the Rfam family "Bacterial small subunit ribosomal RNA", at positions 52 to 1008 of the family's 1533-position model. The record is from RNAcentral.
CACAUGCAAGUCGAGGGGCAGCAUAAUGGAUAGCAAUAUCUAUGGUGGCGACCGGCGCACGGGUGCGUAACGCGUAUACAACCUACCUUUAACAGGGGGAUAACACUGAGAAAUUGGUACUAAUACCCCAUAAUAUCAUAGAAGGCAUCUUUUAUGGUUGAAAAUUCCGAUGGUUAGAGAUGGGCAUGCGUUGUAUUAGCUAGUUGGUGGGGUAACGGCUCACCAAGGCGACGAUACAUAGGGGGACUGAGAGGUUAACCCCCCACACUGGUACUGAGACACGGACCAGACUCCUACGGGAGGCAGCAGUGAGGAAUAUUGGUCAAUGGACGCAAGUCUGAACCAGCCAUGCCGCGUGCAGGAUGACGGCUCUAUGAGUUGUAAACUGCUUUUGUACGAGGGUAAACGCAGAUACGUGUAUCUGUCUGAAAGUAUCGUACGAAUAAGGAUCGGCUAACUCCGUGCCAGCAGCCGCGGUAAUACGGAGGAUUCAAGCGUUAUCCGGAUUUAUUGGGUUUAAAGGGUGCGUAGGCGGUUUGAUAAGUUAGAGGUGAAAUUUCGGGGCUCAACCCUGAACGUGCCUCUAAUACUGUUGAGCUAGAGAGUAGUUGCGGUAGGCGGAAUGUAUGGUGUAGCGGUGAAAUGCUUAGAGAUCAUACAGAACACCGAUUGCGAAGGCAGCUUACCAAACUAUAUCUGACGUUGAGGCACGAAAGCGUGGGGAGCAAACAGGAUUAGAUACCCUGGUAGUCCACGCAGUAAACGAUGAUAACUCGUUGUCGGCGAUACACAGUCGGUGACUAAGCGAAAGCGAUAAGUUAUCCACCUGGGGAGUACGUUCGCAAGAAUGAAACUCAAAGGAAUUGACGGGGGCCCGCACAAGCGGAGGAACAUGUGGUUUAAUUCGAUGAUACGCGAGGAACCUUACCCGGGCUUGAAAGUUAGCGACGAUUCUUGAAAGA